This 31-nucleotide non-coding RNA is filed under the name Rattus norvegicus (Norway rat). The record is from RNAcentral. Lineage: Eukaryota; Metazoa; Chordata; Mammalia; Rodentia; Muridae.
UCAAAAACGCUAAGUUAAGUAACAGGAUCCA